GCCGGGUGGCGGAACAGCAGACGCACAGGACUUAAAAUCCUGGCGGUGGAGUGACCACCGUGCGGGUUCGACCCCCCUCGGCACCA
Molecule: transfer RNA, 86 nt
Filed under: Bacillus sp. UFRGS-B20
Lineage: Bacteria; Bacillati; Bacillota; Bacilli; Caryophanales; Bacillaceae
Description: tRNA-Leu
Rfam family: tRNA
About the family: Transfer RNA (tRNA) molecules are approximately 80 nucleotides in length. Their secondary structure includes four short double-helical elements and three loops (D, anti-codon, and T loops).
Source: RNAcentral